RNAcentral lists this ribosomal RNA (504 nucleotides) under uncultured bacterium. RNAcentral's name for it is "bacterial SSU rRNA". It matches the Rfam family "Bacterial small subunit ribosomal RNA", at positions 28 to 524 of the family's 1533-position model. The record is from RNAcentral.
GACGAACGCUGGCGGCGUGGAUUAGGCAUGCAAGUCGAACGGUAUCAUCCUUUCGGGGGUGAGAGAGUGGCGAACUGGUGAGUAACACGUAGGUUAUCUACCCUCAAGACGGGGACAACCCAGGGAAACUUGGGCUAAUACCGGAUGUGAGCAACUUUUAGUUGUUUGAAAGGUGGCGUAAGCUGUCGCUUGGGGAUGAGCCUGCGUCCUAUUAGUUAGUUGGUGAGGUAACGGCUCACCUAGGCAAUGAUAGGUAGGCGGCCUUAACGGGUGGUCGCCCACACUGGGAUUGAGAUACGGCCCAGACUCCUACGGGAGGCAGCAGUCGAGAAUAGUCUACAAUGGUCGGAAGACUGAUAGUGCGACGCCGCGUGAACGAUGAAUCCCUUCGGGGUGUAAAGUUCUUUUAUAGGUGAGCAGUGCUUCUUAUAUUAACAGUAUGGGGAGAGAGAUAUUAGCAUAUGAAUAAGCAACGGCUAACUCCGUGCCAGCAGCCGCGGUAAU